AUGAAAGAUAAAAGUGGUCGGCA
RNAcentral lists this microRNA (23 nucleotides) under Pristionchus pacificus. RNAcentral describes it as "ppc-miR-8293-3p". Lineage: Eukaryota; Metazoa; Nematoda; Chromadorea; Rhabditida; Neodiplogasteridae. The record is from miRBase by way of RNAcentral.